This is a long non-coding RNA of Trifolium pratense (red clover), 296 nucleotides long. RefSeq lists it as uncharacterized. The transcript is spliced from 3 exons. The record is from RefSeq and is a predicted model, not a curated record. Lineage: Eukaryota; Viridiplantae; Streptophyta; Magnoliopsida; Fabales; Fabaceae.
AAUUUAUUGCAGCCCUGAAUCAUAUAUUAAUCAACUGUGAUGAGAUUCAACCAUAUAUUGAGAUAUUUGUGGAGACGUUGCGUGUGGUUGAUCGCAACAUAAGUGAUGAACAUGUUGAUAAGUGCAUUGAAGAAAACUUUGCAGUUUGGUUAAAGAAUUAUGUUGACAAUCCUUCAAAUAACGUGACAGAUCCGAAUAUAAGUGCCUUGGCUUGGGGUCCUUUAAGAAUUGUUAAAACCUGGCCAAUUUAUUGUGUGAAUGGCUUCAAGUUUCAUACCAAAACACAUUCAUUUGGA